CCCAUUUCUUAGUUUGUAUCGCCAUUCCAAUACCGCUGCUACAGAUCCCUUGAAUUGCGCUUUAAUUCUCUAGCUCCUUAAUUUGUCCAUCUGAAGCGUAAGAAGAUCUAACGCCGAUUUUUACACCUGCUGCUCCUAGAAUACAACUCGAUCCAGGGUGAUCAAAUCAGGACCAUGGUGGACUACAUGUGUAUGUUCACAAUGGAUAAAUGAUGUUGUAUCUAUGGUCAGGUAAAUCAAGUUUAAAAAAAAAAAAACAAAAAACAAAAAAGAUGGCUUAUAGACGUCAUGAGGGCUCCACAUCUCACCUGACAGAGAAGGAGUUAUCACCAUCAAUUCUCCGUUUUGUUGGUGUACUGGAUGAUGCUGAUGUCUUACAUGUACCGCGCUUGCCAUCUUCGUUUGCUCCAAAGGUGGAGCACUUGGUGGACCAAGAAAUCCUCCUUGAGGAUUUAUGUGGACAGAUAUGGCCUGUGACUCUAUCCUAUGUUGACAAUGAAUUAUCAUUCGCAUUGUGAUGGAAAGUAUUUCAUAUGACCAUGCUCUCACUAGCAGAAAUUAAGGCUUUUUAUUGCUGCCGAAAAGUUGAUACGAAUGCUCAUUUUUCGACACAAGAAGCCUUUUGUGUCAACUUUGUAACAGAUUUUGACCGAUACAAGAACUCGAGUAACAAAAAGUCUAUGUGACGACAAUGUCCGUUACAAAAAGUUGAUGGUCAACACUCCUAUUGCGCACGUGCUAAAUUUAUUUGUAACGGUUUCAUUUUUUGUAACAAAAUUAUCCAUUGCAAAAAAAUCAGUAUUA
Molecule: long non-coding RNA, 804 nt
Organism: Andrographis paniculata
Lineage: Eukaryota; Viridiplantae; Streptophyta; Magnoliopsida; Lamiales; Acanthaceae
Exons: 5
Source: RefSeq, a predicted model, not a curated record